GAGAAAGAAUGCAAGAACUGCUAACUCAUGCCCCCAUGCCUAACAACCUGGCUUUCUCA
Molecule: transfer RNA, 59 nt
Filed under: Chiropotes albinasus
Lineage: Eukaryota; Metazoa; Chordata; Mammalia; Primates; Pitheciidae
Description: tRNA-Ser
Source: RNAcentral